CUUCGCGUCGUUCGAUGCCAAAAUCAUUCCAACACUUCUUUAACUCAUUUUUGCCCUUCCAAACUUGCUGGAAUGCAAAAAUCAACUCACCAAUCCAUUUCUCUAGAUACCUUAACCAAUUUGAUUAAAGUUCGAUUAUCGUUUUCAAGUUUCGAUAUGUUACAACUAAUAUCAUCCUGACCCUACAAUUUUUCAUCCAAGGGUUAAAAACUUAAUAGCAAAAAGAGCGUUUUACUAUUAAUAGCAUUCCAGCCUAAUUCUAUAUAUAUAUA
RNAcentral lists this long non-coding RNA (272 nucleotides) under Ananas comosus (pineapple). RNAcentral describes it as "long non-coding RNA (ACOM_LNC006945)". Lineage: Eukaryota; Viridiplantae; Streptophyta; Magnoliopsida; Poales; Bromeliaceae. The record is from RNAcentral.